Molecule: ribosomal RNA, 439 nt
Filed under: uncultured soil bacterium
Lineage: Bacteria
Description: bacterial SSU rRNA
Rfam family: Bacterial small subunit ribosomal RNA
Source: RNAcentral
AGAUUGAACGCUGGCGGCAUGCUUUACACAUGCAAGUCGAACGGCAGCGCGGGGCAACCUGGCGGCGAGUGGCGAACGGGUGAGUAAUAUAUCGGAACGUACCCAAGAGUGGGGGAUAACGUAGCGAAAGUUACACUAAUACCGCAUACGAUCUAAGGAUGAAAGCAGGGGACCGCAAGGCCUUGUGCUCCUGGAGCCGGCCGAUAUCUGAUUAGCUAGUUGGUAGGGUAAAGGCUACCAAGGCUACGAUCAGUAGCUGGUCUGAGAGGACGACCAGCCACACUGAACUGACGACACGGUCCAGACUCCUACGGGAGGCAGCAGGUGGGUAAUUUUGGACAAGUGGGCGCAAGCCUGAUCCAGCAAUGCCGCGUGAGUGAAGAACGCCGUUACGGUGUAAGCUUCGUUUGUUCGAGGAGAAACGGUGAGGACUUAAGUA